UAUGAUGUAUUCUAAACGCUGCGUUUUUAAUUAUGCCUUCUAUCGCUCUCCUUCUCCGCCGUAGGUGCAUUUAGGGUUUCCAUGGAAACUGAUUCUUCUUCCUCAGGAUCCAGCAAUCAAUCGGCGCCGUAGUGAAUCUAGAUUUUCCAACGAGCUAUUCAUCUUCUUCCUACUGAUCAAGUAAUCAGUCGAUUACGGAAUCGUUGCUAUUAAAUUCUCUCUUUAAAUCAAUCUACACGAUAUCUCUUCAAAAGCGGUGGUGGUUCGACUAUAAUAAGAUGUUCUUCCACAGUGGAGGUUAGGUUAUUGCCUUUCUGAGAGGCAAGGAACAUCAGGCGAGGUGAUGAACUGAUGUCCGUAGAUACGCUCCUGCUUCCGUUUUAGAAUUCCGAUUGUAUGUAUAUAAGUUGAUUUUCCCCAAAUUAUAAGAAUUUUCACUGAGCGUUUAUUAGUUGUGACUUUCUACGAUUUACUUUCAAGCAAAUCUUAUGCCAGCCACCAUUGGUCCCUAUCUCACGGUGGGGUCGAUGUAUUCCAUAACCGGUUUCGAUGUGGCUCGGUGUAACCCAAACUUCAGGCUGUCGGACUCCUCUUCAUUUGAUUCAUUGGCAAACUCCUCUCUCCUUCUUACUGACUUCAAAGCCGGUCGAUGUAGCACAACCGUCGAAGUGCGGCGACCUCAUCAGUCUCCGCUUGCUUUCUCCAUCGACUUUAACCUAACGUUCUUGCUAAUACUGCUCACCUAAUCAUCAGCAGACGCGUCCGGGGAUGGGUCCACCAAUCGUUGUCUCACUGAUAUCGGCUUUGGUCCUCUCAGAUAUUUUUUACAAAUUUUCUAAAGCUUUAGAGAGAUCUCAAAACGUCGACAGCCAUGGCGACCACCAAAGUCCAGAGGAUUAUGACCCAGCCAAUCCUACGUAACUGAGUUUUAGGGGUUUCAAAGUAAAGUUCGAGUCCAUAUUUGGCUCUUUUGAGCGGAAAGAUCUGAAGACUUAAGAAAUAAUUAAUUGUUCAGGAAUUCAUGGUGUUCUCUUUGUGCUACUGAAUUCAUGGAGUACAAACACUACUGAGGGCUAUGUCUUGAUGCAUGCAUAAGCUACAUAGAUGGUGCUUAUGAUCUUUUCCAACUUGCCACGCUAAGCUAUAUGUUAAUUUAGCGCAGACAUAUUAAUCUUUAUGUUUUUCAUUUUCCUCUGCUGUUUGUCGACAGAAUUUGAGAGCUAAUAUGUAUUUGACUACAUAGAGCUUCAAGCUAUAUUUUCGAAAAAAGGUAGCAAGAUGGAACAAGGUGACCGAGAAGUAUAAAAAAGUUGCUUUCGUCCUGGACCUGGAUGAUAGAUUUGGAUAUGUAUCUAUGCCCAGCUUAGGCCACAAAAACUUCUCACAGGCCGUAAACA
Brassica oleracea var. oleracea is the source of this 1397-nucleotide long non-coding RNA. RefSeq lists it as uncharacterized. Lineage: Eukaryota; Viridiplantae; Streptophyta; Magnoliopsida; Brassicales; Brassicaceae. The transcript has 7 exons. The record is from RefSeq and is a predicted model, not a curated record.